CAAGCAAGCUAGCGGAUUUUCUCAGGCUAAGGCUCAGCCAUUGCACUCCAGCUGUAUCGACUCUUGCAAUUUCGCCAAACGCAGAAAACCCAACUGCAUAAUUUAUGGUAGUAGGAGACUGCAUGCAUGCCUUCCCCUG
RNAcentral lists this small nuclear RNA (139 nucleotides) under Salvator merianae (Argentine black and white tegu). RNAcentral describes it as "U1 spliceosomal RNA (ENSSMRG00000012798.1)". It matches the Rfam family "U1 spliceosomal RNA", at positions 27 to 166 of the family's 166-position model. Rfam says of the family: U1 is a small nuclear RNA (snRNA) component of the spliceosome (involved in pre-mRNA splicing). Its 5' end forms complementary base pairs with the 5' splice junction, thus defining the 5' donor site of an intron. Lineage: Eukaryota; Metazoa; Chordata; Lepidosauria; Squamata; Teiidae. The record is from RNAcentral.